RNAcentral lists this ribosomal RNA (1342 nucleotides) under uncultured bacterium. RNAcentral describes it as "16S ribosomal RNA". It matches the Rfam family "Bacterial small subunit ribosomal RNA", at positions 28 to 1378 of the family's 1533-position model. The record is from RNAcentral.
GACGAACGCUUGCGGCGUGCUUAACACAUGCAAGUCGAACGGAAAGGCCCUGCUUUUGUGGGGUGCUCGAGUGGCGAACGGGUGAGUAACACGUGAGUAACCUGCCCUUGACUUUGGGAUAACUUCAGGAAACUGGGGCUAAUACCGGAUAGGAGCUCCUGCUGCAUGGUGGGGGUUGGAAAGUUUCGGCGGUUGGGGAUGGACUCGCGGCUUAUCAGCUUGUUGGUGGGGUAGUGGCUUACCAAGGCUUUGACGGGUAGCCGGCCUGAGAGGGUGACCGGCCACAUUGGGACUGAGAUACGGCCCAGACUCCUACGGGAGGCAGCAGUGGGGAAUAUUGCACAAUGGGCGGAAGCCUGAUGCAGCAACGCCGCGUGCGGGAUGACGGCCUUCGGGUUGUAAACCGCUUUCGCCUGUGACGAAGCGUGAGUGACGGUAAUGGGUAAAGAAGCACCGGCUAACUACGUGCCAGCAGCCGCGGUGAUACGUAGGGUGCGAGCGUUGUCCGGAUUUAUUGGGCGUAAGGGCUCGUAGGUGGUUGAUCGCGUCGGAAGUGUAAUCUUGGGGCUUAACCCUGAGCGUGCUUUCGAUACGGGUUGACUUGAGGAAGGUAGGGGAGAAUGGAAUUCCUGGUGGAGCGGUGGAAUGCGCAGAUAUCAGGAGGAACACCAGUGGCGAAGGCGGUUCUCUGGGCCUUUCCUGACGCUGAGGAGCGAAAGCGUGGGGAGCGAACAGGCUUAGAUACCCUGGUAGUCCACGCUGUAAACGGUGGGUACUAGGUGUGGGGUCCAUUCCACGGGUUCCGUGCCGUAGCUAACGCUUUAAGUACCCCGCCUGGGGAGUACGGCCGCAAGGCUAAAACUCAAAGGAAUUGACGGGGCCCCGCACAAGCGGCGGAGCAUGCGGAUUAAUUCGAUGCAACGCGUAGAACCUUACCUGGGUUUGACAUGGAUCGGGAGUGCUCAGAGAUGGGUGUGCCUCUUUUGGGGUCGGUUCACAGGUGGUGCAUGGCUGUCGUCAGCUCGUGUCGUGAGAUGUUGGGUUAAGUCCCGCAACGAGCGCAACCCUUGUUCACUGUUGCCAGCACGUUAUGGUGGGGACUCAGUGGAGACCGCCGGGGUCAACUCGGAGGAAGGUGGGGAUGACGUCAAGUCAUCAUGCCCCUUAUGUCCAGGGCUUCACGCAUGCUACAAUGGCUGGUACAGAGAGUGGCGAGCCUGUGAGGGUGAGCGAAUCUCGGAAAGCCGGUCUCAGUUCGGAUUGGGGUCCGCAACUCGACCUCAUGAAGUCGGAGUCGCUAGUAAUCGCAGAUCAGCAACGCUGCGGUGAAUACGUUCCCGGG